Molecule: ribosomal RNA, 30 nt
Filed under: Nipponoparmelia laevior
Lineage: Eukaryota; Fungi; Ascomycota; Lecanoromycetes; Lecanorales; Parmeliaceae
Description: partial 18S ribosomal RNA
Source: RNAcentral
AAUCUGCUUCGUAGGUGACCUGCGGAAGGA